CCCACCCGAGCCUACCUACCAGAAGCCUUUGCUCAAUGGGAGUGAAGUGGGCGGGUAGCUCUGGUGGAUCUAAGUGGCCACUGAGCUGCAGAAAAGCAUCCGUCUGCUUUUACCCUAGUCCUGACAGAGCUCAGAACCUCCCAUGGCAGCUCCAGGGAUGGUUCUUAGGGUUGUGGUUGGGCAAACACAUGUGGUUCCCACUAAGCCCAAGGAGAGACAUAAAGGAGAGACCAAGGAGAGGCUUCUGUGGAGAAGGCAGGGGCAAAAGCUGGCUGUAAGGUCUGGCCAGCUGCACCACACUGCCCACCAGCACCUCAUCUUCUCCUUUACGGAAGAAGUGACUGGGAGUCCGGGAUCCUAGGUCUCAUUUCUGAUUUUUUUUUUUUUUUUUUGAGAUAAGGUCUCACUGUGUCUUGUGGGUGGGAGUGCAGUGGUGUGAUCAUGACUCACCGCAGCCUGAGCUCAAACUCUUGAGCUCAAUCCUCCCAUCUCAGUCUCCCAAGUAGCUGAGACUACAAACAUGUGCCAUCACACCCCGCUAAUUUUUUUUUUUUUAGACAGCCUGGGCUACAGAGCUAGACUCCGCCUAAAAAAAAAUAAAUAAAUAAAAUAAAAUAAAAUAAAAUAAAAGGCCAACUCUUCUUCUCUACAAGGCACCAAUGAAGACUGGAUUUCAGACCCCUCAUCUGGGAAACUAAGCAGUCCACAUACUUCACAACUGUACACGGCAACCGUGCUCACCCCUCAUAACCGCUAGCCUUCACGUGUCAUUCUACCUCCCCGAUACCUUCUCCAAUCUGUCCUUCCCUCUUUGCCCCCGCUGCCACAUUCUUAGUUUCAACCCUUAUGGUUUCUUUCCUGUACUGAUGCAGCAGUUUCCGACACAUCAGUGACUCAGGUCUUGCCUGCAUCUAGAGCAAACACAUCGUGUUCUUACUUGCCCCUGUGCCUUUGUAGCUGCUGUGGCCUUGCUUGGCCUGAACAGCCACCCUCAGCUUCCUGGUCAACUCUAGCUCAUGCUGUAGCACUCAGCUCCAACGUCACCUCACCUGAAAAUUGGCCCUGACUCGCCUCUCAGACAUGACUAUAGUCUGCCAGGCUCUGGACUCCCAUAGCUCCUGACCAUACCUGGAUGAUGGCACUGAUUGCCACAGGGAUUGUUUACUGCCACCCCAACCAGCCUGUGAACUCUAGAUGUGAGAGCUAGGCUGCUUUCAUUGCUUGGUAACCAAAUGGUUAUAAAGAACAGGAAUUGGGAGAGGAGUAAAUUACAAUUAUAACUCCCCACUUAAUGCUAUUGGGAAUCUUUCCCUAGCUUUGGUUUCCCCAUUUUAAAAUGUGGAUAAUAGGCCAGGUGCAGUGGCCCGUGACUGUAAUCCCAGAACUUUGGGAGGCGAAGGCAGGAGGAUCAUGUGAGGCCAGGAGUUAGACACCAGACUGGAUAACAUAGUGAGACCCUGUCUCUAAUUAAAAAAAGAAAAAAAGAAAAAAUAAUAAUAGGCCAGGCGCGGUGGCUCACCCCUGUAAUCCUAGCACUUUG
RNAcentral lists this long non-coding RNA (1540 nucleotides) under Homo sapiens (human). RNAcentral describes it as "HSALNT0359479". Lineage: Eukaryota; Metazoa; Chordata; Mammalia; Primates; Hominidae. The record is from RNAcentral.